Molecule: RNA transcript, 1028 nt
Organism: Cebus imitator (Panamanian white-faced capuchin)
Lineage: Eukaryota; Metazoa; Chordata; Mammalia; Primates; Cebidae
Gene name: 60S ribosomal protein L6-like
Exons: 1
Source: RefSeq, a predicted model, not a curated record
UGACAGAGGGAGACCCUGUCUCACAAAAAUAAAAAAGGGGAGGGAGAACUAAUCAAAGGACACGAUCAGAAGAGUGAGAAUUGGAAGUAGACAUUUGAAAUUCACAUAUAUAAGGAUUAAUAUCCAGAACACAUUAAGAAUUCCUGUGACUCUCUUUCCCAUCUUGCAAGAUGGCGGGUGAAAAAGUUGAGAAGCCGGAUACUAAAGAGAAGAAACCUGAAGCCAAGAAGGCUGAUGCUGGUGGCAGAGUGAAAAAGGGUAACCUCAAGGCUAAAAAGCCCGAGAAGGGGAAGCCCCAUUGCAGCCGCAGUCCUGUUCUUGUCAGAGGAAUUGGCAGGUAUUUCCGAUCUGCCAUGUAUUCCAGAAAGGCCAUGUACAAGAGGAAGUACUCAGCGGCUAAAUCCAAGAUUGAAAAGAGAAAGGAGAAGGUUCUUGCAACUGUUACAAAACGUGGUGGUGACAAAAACAGCGGUACCCGGGUGGCUAAACUUCGCAAAAUGCCUAGGUAUUAUCCUAGUGAAGAUGUGCCUCGAGCUGUCGAGCCACAGCAAAAAACCCUUCAGUCAGCAUGUGAGAAAACUGCGAGCCAGCAUCACCCCCAGGACCACUCUGAUCAUCCUCACUGGAGCCACAGGGGCAAGAGGGUGGUUUUCCUGAAGCAGCUGGCCAGUGGCUUGUUACUUGUGACUGGACCUCUGGUCCUCAAUCAAGUUCCUUUGCGAAGAACGCACCAGAAAUUUGUCAUUGCCACCUCAACCAAAACUGGUAUCAGCAAUGUAAAAAUCCCGAAACAUCUUACUGAUGCUUACUUCAAGAAGCAGCAGCUGCGGAAGCCCAGACACCAGAAAGAUGAGAUCUUCGAUGCAGAAAAAGAGAAAUAUGAGAUUACAGAGGAGCACAAGAUUGAUCAGAAAGCUGUGUACUCACAAAUUUUACCAAAAAUCAAAGCUAUUCCUCAGCUCCAGGGCCACCUGUGAUCUGUGUUUGCCCUGACAAAUGGAAUUUAUCCUCACAAAUUGGUAUUUUAA